Molecule: long non-coding RNA, 828 nt
Filed under: Glycine max (soybean)
Lineage: Eukaryota; Viridiplantae; Streptophyta; Magnoliopsida; Fabales; Fabaceae
Description: long non-coding RNA (GMAX_LNC001155)
Source: RNAcentral
UCCCUUCCAAGAACGAACUGAGCCAACUCGUCACCAUUUCAAAUUUGAGAGAAGUUACGUUGCUGUGUUUUUUCAAUUUCAUUCAAUUUCUAAAUCUUAAUUCAUUACAAAUUUCUUUAUUUUUUUUAAUUUCUUCAACCCCUUCCUACCAUUACCAGAUUCACCACUAUUUUGCUGCAAAAUAUCGCAAGACCCAAAUCUGAAUCCAAAUCAAAUUUCAUCCCAAACCACCACUUUCUUCUACUGAUUUCUUCAAUUUCAGGUCAAAAAAGUUUUGACUCACGUUACUACAAAUUGAGAAAAAGCUUCAACUCGUUCUUACCACCACUUUCUCCUGCUAAUUUCUUGAAUUACAUUCCAUAUAUCAAAUCUAAAUUCAUUCUUUGACACCAUUGAAGCAAAUGAUUAAACCCAUUUAUCAUCAGAACAAACGAGAAAGUUUCAAACAACAAAAAUCCCAUAUUUAGGAUUAUUAACUUACAACAAAUCUCCGGUCAAAAAGAAAAAACUUACAACAGAUCUCUUACAAAAAAAGUAGCCAAUUCAUUUCAAAUUUCAAAUCCCUCAAACUAAUUUAUGAAAUUGAGAACAUGCAACUAAGAUUAAAAGAAAGAAUAACAAAUCGAGAAAAAUCCAUGACAUCAAUUAGCAAAAUAAAUGAAUAAAUUUCAUGAUAGUCAUGGAUCAAAACAAAAUAGAUACAGCAGGAAAAAGAAGGAACAUCUAUUGUUGCAGUUGAAGAAGGUUUGGGUGACGGAGAUGAGGAAGAAUCACUUAGUGGAGGCAGCAGCAGCAGUAACGGAAAUGACAACAGAGGAGUGGGUUGAG